Non-coding RNA from Ornithorhynchus anatinus (platypus), 138 nucleotides. The record is from Rfam. NCBI's taxonomy places the organism in Eukaryota, Metazoa, Chordata, Mammalia, Monotremata, Ornithorhynchidae.
UCCCUCUCAGGGUCGCUCCUGGAGAGGUUCUAGUACUCUACCGAUCUCGGCUAUGGGAGGGAGAGCCAAGCAGAGGCCUACCCAUUCCAUUCCUAGCUUGGCCAGUGGCAAGCGAGUGGAAGACAAUCUGAUACAAGU